Molecule: ribosomal RNA, 393 nt
Filed under: uncultured bacterium
Lineage: Bacteria
Description: bacterial SSU rRNA
Rfam family: Bacterial small subunit ribosomal RNA
Source: RNAcentral
AUUGAAUGCUGGCGGCAUGCCUUACACAUGCAAGUCGAACGGCAGCACGGGAGCAAUCCUGGUGGCGAGUGGCGAACGGGUGAGUAAUAUAUCGGAACGUGCCCAGUCGUGGGGGAUAACGUAGCGAAAGCUACGCUAAUACCGCAUACGAUCUAUGGAUGAAAGCGGGGGAUCGCAAGACCUCGCGCGAUUGGAGCGGCCGAUAUCAGAUUAGGUAGUUGGUGAGGUAAAGGCUCACCAAGCCGACGAUCUGUAGCUGGUCUGAGAGGACGACCAGCCACACUGGGACUGAGACACGGCCCAGACUCCUACGGGAGGCAGCAGUGGGGAAUUUUUGGACAAAUGGGCGCAAGCCUGAUCCAGCAAUGCCGCGUGCAGGAUGAAGGCCUGGUU